Molecule: ribosomal RNA, 433 nt
Filed under: uncultured bacterium
Lineage: Bacteria
Description: partial 16S ribosomal RNA
Rfam family: Bacterial small subunit ribosomal RNA
Source: RNAcentral
AACGAACGCUGGCGGCAGGCCUAACACAUGCAAGUCGAGCGAGCAUUUCGGUGCUAGCGGCGGACUGGUGAGUAACGCGUGGGAACGUGGCCUUUUCUGCGGAAUAGUCCUGGGAAACUGGGGGUAAUACGGCAUACGCACUUUUGGGGAAAGAUUUAUCGGAGAAGGAUCGGCCGGCGUUGGAUUAGGUAGUUGGUGGGGUAAUGGCCCACCAAGCCGACGAUCCAUAGCUGGUUUGAGAGGAUGAUCAGCCACACUGGGACUGAGACACGGCCCAGACUCCUACGGGAGGCAGCAGUGGGGAAUCUUAGACAAUGGGGGCAACCCUGAUCUAGCCAUGCCGCGUGAGUGAUGAAGGCCUUAGGGUUGUAAAGCUCUUUCAGCUGGGAAGAUAAUGACGGUACCAGCAGAAGAAGCCCCGGCUAACUCCGUG